AGAAUCAACGCUGGCGGCGUGCCUAACACAUGCAAGUCGCACGAGAAACGGGACGUUCGGUCCUGAGUACAGUGGCGCACGGGUGAGUAACACGUGAAUAAUCUACCUCCGAGUGGGGAAUAACUGAGAGAAAUCUUAGCUAAUACCGCAUAACACUUACGAGUCAAAGCAGCAAUGCGCUUGGAGAGGAGUUCGCGGCAGAUUAGUUAGUUGGCGGGGUAAUGGCCCACCAAGACGAUGAUCUGUA
RNAcentral lists this ribosomal RNA (247 nucleotides) under uncultured bacterium. RNAcentral describes it as "partial small subunit ribosomal RNA". It matches the Rfam family "Bacterial small subunit ribosomal RNA", at positions 26 to 285 of the family's 1533-position model. The record is from RNAcentral.